This 86-nucleotide ribosomal RNA is filed under the name Austropotamobius pallipes (white-clawed crayfish). RNAcentral's name for it is "partial 12S ribosomal RNA". RNAcentral also lists the same sequence under 1 other name. Lineage: Eukaryota; Metazoa; Arthropoda; Malacostraca; Decapoda; Astacidae. The record is from RNAcentral.
UAUGUACAUAUCGCCCGUCGCUUUCAUUUAAGGUGAAAUAAGUCGUAACAUAGUAGGGGCACUGGAAAGUACCCCUAGAAUUUUAG